Molecule: ribosomal RNA, 446 nt
Filed under: uncultured bacterium
Lineage: Bacteria
Description: partial 16S ribosomal RNA
Rfam family: Bacterial small subunit ribosomal RNA
Source: RNAcentral
AGCGAACGCUGGCGGCAGGCUUAAUACAUGCAAGUCGAACGCCCCGCAAGGGGAGUGGCAGACGGGUGAGUAACACGUGGGAACGUACCCUUUGGUUCGGAAUAACCUGGGGAAACUCAAGCUAAUACCGGAUAAGCCCUUAUGGGGAAAGGUUUACUGCCGAAGGAUCGGCCCGCGUCUGAUUAGCUAGUUGGUGAGGUAAUGGCUCACCAAGGCGACGAUCAGUAGCUGGUCUGAGAGGAUGAUCAGCCACACUGGGACUGAGACACGGCCCAGACGCCUACGGGGGGCAGCAGUGGGGAAUAUUGGACAAGGGGGGCAACCCUGAUCCAGCCAUGCGCGUGAGUGAUGAAGGCCUUAGGGUUGUAAAGCUCUUUUACCCGGGACGAUAAUGACUGUACCGGGAGAAUAAGCCCCGGCUAACUUCGUGCCAGCCGCCGCCGUAA